GAUGAACGCUGACAGAAUGCUUAACACAUGCAAGUCAACUUGAACUUCGGUUUGGGUGGCGGACGGGUGAGUAACGCGUAAAGAACUUGCCUCACAGAUAGGGACAACAUUUGGAAACGAAUGCUAAUACCUGAUAUUACGAUUAUAUGGCAUCGUAUAAUUAUGAAAGCUAUAUGCGCUGUGAGAGAGCUUUGCGUCCCAUUAGCUAGUUGGAGAGGUAACGGCUCACCAAGGCGAUGAUGGGUAGCCGGCCUGAGAGGGUGAUCGGCCACAAGGGGACUGAGACACGGCCCUUACUCCUACGGGAGGCAGCAGUGGGGAAUAUUGGACAAUGGACCAAGAGUCUGAUCCAGCAAUUCUGUGUGCACGAUGAAGUUUUUCGGAAUGUAAAGUGCUUUCAGUUGGGAAGAAAAAAAUGACGGUACCAACAGAAGAAGUGACGGCUAAAUACGUG
Molecule: ribosomal RNA, 454 nt
Filed under: uncultured bacterium
Lineage: Bacteria
Description: partial 16S ribosomal RNA
Rfam family: Bacterial small subunit ribosomal RNA
Source: RNAcentral